CACACCUCUAAUGUUGCUACCACUUACAUCAACAUGGAAGCACAGACCAGAUGCCUGUUGUACACAAGUCUACGUCUGCGUCUGCAACGGUCUUAGCUUAAUACCUGCCUAGUGCCGUGCAGCAGAGCCAGACUGCAUUAAAAAAAAAAGGAAAAAGGAAGGUCGCCAGAAUCAAAACACUCCAAAUCUCCCACACAUCUCCAGUCAGGCUUUCUCUCUCGUAUUAGGCGGCUCACAAAUAAAGCGAUUUACCUUGGUGUCUCUCCGCACACCGGGGGCAAAACAAUGCAGCACGCCGUUUCCUUUAGAAAUGUGUGUGUGUGUGAGUGUGGAGAGGGGGAGACAGACUGUAAAACCCCUGUGGCACAAAUCAUCCACCCCCACCGCUGCAUCUUGUGCCACAAUGUGUCUCCUAACUGUCUGACAUGGUAACAUGGAUGAGGGCAGAGCUGGGAGACAAACAGAAAGAGACACAAAGACUGGUGGUGCUGCUGAUGGUGGUGGUGGUGGAGACAAGCUGGUGAGCUGGUGCUGCUUCUGAUGUUCUUCUACAGACUGAUGGAAAGCAGGGAUGACAUAAGAGCCGGGCAACCUGAGGAAGGGGAGGUUAAGGAUGCAGAGACACACUAACAAAAGCAACAGCAUUUAAUAUGAAACAGAAUUUCAGAGCUUAGUCGCCAUGACAACAACACACUUACACCACCGUUUAAUUGCUGCUGGCUGCAGUUGUCUGUCGUCUCUCAAUCUGCUGGCAACAUGUAUAACCUGUUAUUACUGUAAUUUGUGGUAUUUCUUCACCACAGUACACCAGAGCAGCACCUGGUGUUUGGCCCCAACCUGUCCAACCACCAGCAUCACUUGUGAACGAUUUAAGCUAAAUGAACUCCUUCACUCGAGGCGCAGGCUGACCCCCGUCCCCACAGGGACUGAUUCACCUUACAUCCAUGUAGAACUGUAGGCGGUGCGGGGAAAGUGUUCAAGCCAGGACAGGAUGGAGAUAUUCUCCUAGGCUUCAAAACAGCUGGAAUGAGAAGCUAGACGAGUGUGCAAAGAUUUUCAACAAUCGCAGGCUGAAGUGGAUAUCUGACACGAGACAAGAUGAGCUCACAAGGAAUGUCGUAUCUCUCUUCCCAUCGCUGGAUGUCUUUGUAGCAGAUUUCAACAGGGAAAAAAGGGGAUAAUAUCAACUUUUAUGACAAGAUAAAGCGUUUUAAAUAUUUAAAAAAGCCCAUAAAUGACACAAAUUUCAUCCUGUGUAUGAGCUUACUAACAAAAUCAAUGAAUAUUUAUGUUUUUCAUCAACUAUAUUAGCAUGUCUACGGCAAUGGUUGUGCGUUAUUAUUUUUAAAAAAGUGUACUAGUGCUUUUAGUACU
Long non-coding RNA from Xiphophorus couchianus (Monterrey platyfish), 1374 nucleotides. RefSeq lists it as uncharacterized. NCBI's taxonomy places the organism in Eukaryota, Metazoa, Chordata, Actinopteri, Cyprinodontiformes, Poeciliidae. The record is from RefSeq and is a predicted model, not a curated record. The transcript has 3 exons.